AUGAACGCUGGCGGCGUGCCUAACACAUGCAAGUCGAACGAAGCACCUUGAUUUCCUCGGAUUGAUUGGUGACUGAGUGGCGGACGGGUGAGUAACGCGUGGGUAACCUGCCUCAUACAGGGGGAUAACAGUUAGAAAUGACUGCUAAUACCGCAUAAGCGCACAGUAUCGCAUGAUGCAGUGUGAAAAACUCCGGUGGUAUGAGAUGGACCCGCGUCUGAUUAGCUAGUUGGUAAGGUAACGGCUUACCAAGGCGACGAUCAGUAGCCGGCCUGAGAGGGUGAUCGGCCACAUUGGGACUGAGACACGGCCCAAACUCCUACGGGAGGCAGCAGUGGGGAAUAUUGCACAAUGGGGGAAACCCUGAUGCAGCAACGCCGCGUGAAGGAUGACGUAUUUCGGUAUGUAAACUUCUAUCAGCAAGGAAGAUGAUGACGGUACUUGACUAAGAAGCCCCGGCUAACUACGUG
RNAcentral lists this ribosomal RNA (470 nucleotides) under uncultured bacterium. RNAcentral's name for it is "bacterial SSU rRNA". It matches the Rfam family "Bacterial small subunit ribosomal RNA", at positions 29 to 507 of the family's 1533-position model. The record is from RNAcentral.